UUGAAGGCAACGGUGAGAUCCCUGGAAGGCUCCUGUGAAUCUCUGAAUGGAAGAAUGGCAGAACUCACCGCAGAGAACGGCAGUCUGGUUCAUCAGCUGGAGGCCAGUACCCAGAAUAUCGAAAAGCUUUCGGAGAAAAAUGCCUUGUUAGAGAGCUCGUUGUCUGAUGCUAAUGGAGUGAUCGAGGGACUGAGGGAGAGGAUGCUGGGCAUGGACAUGGAGGUGAAGGAGCUCCGUGAGGCCCAUGAAGGUGAAAGGGCUGCGCUCCUCAGUCACAUAGAGAAGGCGGCAGAGAAGAGCGUGUUCUUGGAAAAAUCCCUGUCUGAGACAAGCGUUGACUUUGAGGGAGUAAGAGCCAAGGCGAGGUCCUUGGAAGAAUCCUGUGAAUCCCUGAACAGGAGAAUCGCUGAACUUGCCGGAGAGAAUGACAGCCUGAGUCACCAGUUGCAGGCCAGUGCCCGGAGUAUGGAAGAGGUUUCAAAGAACAAUACCUUAUUGGAGACCUCCUUGUCCAGCGCUAAUGGAGAGAUUGAGGGACUGAGGGAGA
This 547-nucleotide long non-coding RNA is filed under the name Spirodela polyrhiza (greater duckweed). RNAcentral describes it as "long non-coding RNA (SPOL_LNC001201)". The record is from RNAcentral. Lineage: Eukaryota; Viridiplantae; Streptophyta; Magnoliopsida; Alismatales; Araceae.